RNAcentral lists this ribosomal RNA (916 nucleotides) under Penicillium manginii. Its description in RNAcentral is "LSU rRNA". It matches the Rfam family "Eukaryotic large subunit ribosomal RNA", at positions 38 to 966 of the family's 3401-position model. Lineage: Eukaryota; Fungi; Ascomycota; Eurotiomycetes; Eurotiales; Aspergillaceae. The record is from RNAcentral.
GCAUAUCCAAUAAGCGGAGGAAAAAGAAACCCAACCCGGGAUUACCCUAGUAACGGCGAGUGAAGCGGUAAGAGCUCAAAUUUGAAAGCUGGCCCCUUCGGGGUCCGCAUUGUAAUUUGCAGAGGAUGCUUCGGGAGCGGUCCCCAUCUAAGUGCCCUGGAACGGGCCGUCAUAGAGGGUGAGAAUCCCGUAUGGGAUGGGGUGCCCGCGCCCGUGUGAAGCUCCUUCGACGAGUCGAGUUGUUUGGGAAUGCAGCUCUAAUUGGGUGGUAAAUUUCAUCUAAAGCUAAAUAUUGGCCGGAGACCGAUAGCGCACAAGUAGAGUGAUCGAAAGAUGAAAAGCACUUUGAAAAGAGAGUUAAACAGCACGUGAAAUUGUUGAAAGGGAAGCGCUUGCGAUCAGACUCGCUCGCGGGGUUCAGCCGGCCUUCGGGCCGGUGUACUUCCCCGCGGGCGGGCCAGCGUCGGUUUGGGCGGCCGGUCAAAGGCCCCUGGAAUGUAACGCCUCUCGGGGCGUCUUAUAGCCAGGGGUGCCAUGCGGCCUGCCCGGACCGAGGAACGCGCUUCGGCUCGGACGCUGGCAUAAUGGUCGUAAGCGACCCGUCUUGAAACACGGACCAAGGAGUCUAACAUCUACGCGAGUGUUCGGGUGUCAAACCCGUGCGCGCAGUGAAAGCGAACGGAGGUGGGAACCCCUCGGGGUGCACCAUCGACCGAUCCUGAUGUCUUCGGAUGGAUUUGAGUAAGAGCGUAGCUGUUGGGACCCGAAAGAUGGUGAACUAUGCCUGAAUAGGGCGAAGCCAGAGGAAACUCUGGUGGAGGCUCGCAGCGGUUCUGACGUGCAAAUCGAUCGUCAAAUUUGGGUAUAGGGGCGAAAGACUAAUCGAACUCAUCUAGUAGCUGGGUUCCUGCCGAAG